This 496-nucleotide ribosomal RNA is filed under the name uncultured bacterium. Its description in RNAcentral is "partial 16S ribosomal RNA". It matches the Rfam family "Bacterial small subunit ribosomal RNA", at positions 30 to 523 of the family's 1533-position model. The record is from RNAcentral.
AUUGAACGCUGGCGGAAUGCUUUACACAUGCAAGUCGAACGGUAGAGGGGGCAACCCCUCGAGAGUGGCGAACGGGUGAGUAAUAUAUCGGAACGUGCCCAGUCGUGGGGGAUAACGUAGCGAAAGUUACGCUAAUACCGCAUACGAUCUAAGGAUGAAAGCGGGGGAUCGCAAGACCUCGCGCGAUUGGAGCGGCCGAUAUCAGAUUAGGUAGUUGGUGGGGUAAAGGCUCACCAAGCCAACGAUCUGUAGCUGGUCUGAGAGGACGACCAGCCACACUGGAACGGAGACACGGUCAAGACUCCUACGGGGGGCAGCAGUGGGGAAUUUUGGACAAUGGACGCAAGUCUGAUCCAGCCAUUCCGCGUGCAGGAUGAAGGCCCUCGGGUUGUAAACUGCUUUUGUACGGAACGAAAAGGUCUCUCUUAAUACGGGGGACUCAUGACGGUACCGUAAGAAUAAGCACCGGCUAACUACGUGCCAGCAGCCGCCGUAA